RNAcentral lists this ribosomal RNA (1981 nucleotides) under Triticum aestivum (bread wheat). RNAcentral's name for it is "partial small subunit ribosomal RNA". Lineage: Eukaryota; Viridiplantae; Streptophyta; Magnoliopsida; Poales; Poaceae. The record is from RNAcentral.
GUCCUAUCAAGGGGUAGCGGCGGGUGUUAGAGGGGCAAGGGGUAAGAUAGGAGGAGUCGGCCGCGAGGGAACCGUCCGGCGGGGGAGGGGAAGCAGUGGUGGCGGCCACGAGGACCAGUCCGGCAGGGAGGGGAAGGAGUGAUCGCGACUGCGACGGACCGUCCGGCGGGGAGGGUAAACUUAGUCCAGCGCCUUCACCGGCUACACCGGGAGCUCGAGCCGUACGAGCGCGGUCGCGAACUGCGGCAACCUACGCCUGCGCCUCCGCGCCCUGAGCGUCCGGGAUGAGAUGGGGCGAGGAAGCUUAGACGGGGUCUUCACGAGCUCCUCCGCGAGCUCGAGCCGUACGAGCGGCUUCUGCGGCCCGGGAGGUAGGAGGACUACGGGAGCGGCAGCGGCGGUACUUGUAGAGGUGGUAGAGGCCGCGUUAGCAGGCCCAGGUCUAAAGGGUUUCCUCUUCCUCCUCCACGGCUUUCUCCUACCCUCGUUGUUCAGACUUAGCUUCUUUAGUUAAAAGAAGUGGGGUGCCCUCUUCAAUCUUCUACAUAAGAACCCUCAAGGGUCGCUGAAACUACAUACAACCUUGUCUUCGUGUGAAAAUUCCAGUUCUAGGGGUGUUCUAGUUUUACCAUCUUCCAGACCGCACGACCGCGACGAAAACUCGCACCGUGUCUACCCGACCUAGGAGCCGGUGUAGCGGGAGUAGCAGACGCGGAUGUAGUGGAUGAUGUGGGGCAGGAGGAGAGGAUGACGAUGGCGACCGGCCUUGGGCAGGUGCGUUUGCCUUGAUGUGAACAUGUACCUGCGGCAGGCGAGGACAGAACCCGGAUCUCUACAUCGAUAUAUACACACCGUAACGUGUCAUGUUCUAAGAGAUACGUAGUGUCAACGGUGCCCGUAGUACAGGCACCACGGGUCGUUGACGGCGGUAAUUUUCCCGGUGCUGCGUUUGACGUCGGUCUACCCUGCUACACGGACCACGACACGCCGGAGCGGUUCCAGUAGGAGAGCGUCAACGACCCGGACCUCUAGACAAUGGAAGCAGAGGUAUUAGCGGCGGCAGUACAGGAAGUGGAUGAGGAAGUAGCGGGAGAAGGCCCCACGGCGCUGGACGCGCAUUCCUCUCCGGUCACCUCGGCACGCAACCAGCCGCCGGUUUGCUUCCUCGCCGUCCGCCACUGGAUACACAUUCCUCUCCGGCCGGUCGUCUCCGCCCACGCCUCCGGUUGCGCCUAGCCACCGCUGCUGCCCGGCGACAGAAAAAAAAAAACGCUUUCUGCCCGGCGGCAGACUGGGAGGCGGUGGCGGCGGAGAGCGGAACGGAGAAAAGCAGCAGCCGAACAGCGGUGCCCGCGCGUCUCCGUCCGCCGUACCCAGCGCCCCAUCAACAAAACUCGCUCGUGCUCGUUGCGUCGAGUGUUUAAUUCCCCAAAACUAACGCUAGUCAAAGGAUAAGAGUACGGACUAACGCCUGCACCCUACCCGCCCCGGUCGCCUUUAACGAUUCGCGUGUCAACCGAUUGGUAUCCCAUUAAACCUACCGAUCUACUUUAAUUCACUAAAACUAGCACUCCGACAUUAACCAGUUUCUAUAACACACAUCCAGACCAAUCCACGCCAAUCGCUACUUAUACAAACGAACAAAUUAUGAUCAUCAUCUUUUCUCCUGUGAGCUUCUUAGCUCUAUGGUGGCUAGUUGAUUUACGCACAGUUGUGCACCAGGUAGUCCCGUUGUACGUUGUUGGCUAGUGCUUGAUAGCGUUAAGUCAGCUCAAAAAAAGGAUUCGUCGGCGCAUAUACGUACAGUGGUGGCGUACGUUUGACGGUACGUCUUUUGUCUGUCUGACAAGUUAUGAGUGCACCAGUUGGUACGUUUUUCUUAUAGAAUAAGGUAUGCUUUAGCGAUCGGUGUGGGUUUCUUGACGUGUGCGGACACAGGGGGUCAUUAACCGCACCGUAGGAGAGUAACCAGACGAAAAAA